Molecule: unclassified non-coding RNA, 322 nt
Filed under: Bombus terrestris (buff-tailed bumblebee)
Lineage: Eukaryota; Metazoa; Arthropoda; Insecta; Hymenoptera; Apidae
Description: misc RNA ENSBTSG00005031121.1
Source: RNAcentral
GUCGUACGAAAGAACGACUCACGACGCCGCUAGCACUCACGCAGGUCCGUGACGGUUCUCUCCGCUCUUAUUCGUAUCCUUCUUCGUGCUCUUCCUCCGACUCUGAAACGUUCUACGUAUCGUAAGAACGACGGCGGGUUGUCGAAGGCACCAAGGGACAGAGAGAGACAGAUAGAGAGGAACGACACGCAACGCAAGCAGUCUUAGGUUUACGUGAGCAACCCUCAGCCAGGCGUGGUCCAGGAAUUGUAUCCGUGGACCGCAAUGUGCGUUCGAAAUGUCGAUGUUCAUGUGUCCUGCAGUUCACACGUUGACGCGCAAU